Scleropages formosus (Asian bonytongue) is the source of this 1575-nucleotide long non-coding RNA. NCBI's taxonomy places the organism in Eukaryota, Metazoa, Chordata, Actinopteri, Osteoglossiformes, Osteoglossidae. The record is from Ensembl.
GGAGACAUGUAAGAUGCCCUGUGAGAAAUCAGUCACACUCUAUUGAUGGUGUUUGAAUUUUUGAAUCAAAGCUUAUUAUUGCCCCUGGCUUUGUUAGUUCAUAGUGGUUAAACCACAACCCAAGAAUGAAAAAUAAAGAAUGUCAAUCAAAAAAUGGUGCAAUAUCUAAUGAGUGGGAGCAGGGAUUGAUAUUACUGUACAGACUUUUAGAGUUGGAGCUAAAACAUUUAUAACCGUAGAUAAAGUAAACUGAUAGCUUUAUUUCUGCCUCCACCUUCAAUGAAAGAGAAAAAAGGGGGUCAAGGAGGAGGCUGCGUCGAGAGUAUAUUUUCCAGGAGAGCCUUCAACAUUGGGGAGGAUCAGACUGAUCCCACCGAGAAGCUGGACAAGGAGAUACAGCACUGGACAGGGGUCCAGCCAUCCAGGACACCAGCUGUGACGAAACAGAAGAAGGCAAACAGGACUGUGGGGUGGAGAGGUGGUGUUGGCUGGGAGAAACUGCGGAGAGCAAUUUGAAGUCACUACUCAAGAUGUUGACUAAGACAGAACAAUUGAAGGUAGCAGAUACUGACCACUGCAAGGAGUCACACAAAACUGUGACUGACAUGAGUGAAGCACCGGACAGCCGUGAGGAGAGAGACAGUUCGGCAAUGGACGAUGGCUGUAAUGCUGAGGAUUUUGGUCCGAGGACAAUGGCUGAUAAGGGGGGGGACAAACAGCCCCUUUCAAAUAGGCAUAGCAAUGAAUUUUCCAGACCGAAAAUGGAUGAUGAAUGUCCACAAAGCUCUAAGGGCAGAAGCAGCUUGAUGUUGGACGAACACUUAUCAAGGGACACAAUGGAGCUGAGUCAUAGUAAAAAGGAGUUGGAGGUGUUGGAGGCAAUCACAAAUUUGUUACUGAACAACAGAGAGGACAGUACUACUGUUCACUGGGUGGAGUGGUGCAAGACUGCUGUUGAUGAUCUUGAGGGACCUCAGCUGGACAAUGGUCUACCAUGUCAACCCUACACUAUAGAGACAGUCAGUGGACGAGCUGAAACGGAAUAUGAAAUUUUCGCGAGAGGGAAGGAAGAACAGCGCUGUAGAACAAGUACUACAGAUAGUGGAAAGGAUUCUGGCAGAGGAUCUAUGUACAGUUUAGACAGCAUUUAGGAAUGUGUCAGUGACAGAGCUGCUUAAUACAGCACAAUCAUACUAUUAAAAUAAUUACUUAUGAUUUUGUUAUUAUUAUUAUUAUUAUUAUUAUUAUUAUUAUUAUUGUAUUUGGGUGUAUUGGGUUUGGGUGAUUUUUGGGUGUACACUCUUGGAACAAAUUAGACUUUCCCCCAUUAAAAAAAUGGUAUUUGUCCUUUCGGUUUACAGAUUUUUUUGCAGACGAAGGCUUUUCCAGGAGCAAAUUAAGUUGAUAAACCGAGCAAUUGGUGUAAUCACUAAUAUGAGCUUCCAGGAAUAUUAACUGAAAUUUGUAAUAUUGUUUUGUCUGAGCAAGAUUUUGGAAGUUUUGUUUGAGAGCAAGCCUGUGGUGUUAACGAAAACACGAAGAAUAUACCAUUGGUACCAUUAAGUUCCACAGAAC